CAGUCGCCGCGGUAAUACAGAGGGUGCGAGCGUUAAUCGGAUUUACUGGGCGUAAAGCGUGCGUAGGCGGCUUCUUAAGUCGGAUGUGAAAUCCCUGAGCUUAACUUAGGAAUUGCAUUCGAUACUGGGAAGCUAGAGUAUGGGAGAGGAUGGUAGAAUUCCAGGUGUAGCGGUGAAAUGCGUAGAGAUCUGGAGGAAUACCGAUGGCGAAGGCAGCCAUCUGGCCUAAUACUGACGCUGAGGUACGAAAGCAUGGGAGCAAACAGGAUUAGAGACCCCAGUAGUCCCUGUCUCUUAUACA
Molecule: ribosomal RNA, 301 nt
Filed under: uncultured bacterium
Lineage: Bacteria
Description: partial 16S ribosomal RNA
Rfam family: Bacterial small subunit ribosomal RNA
Source: RNAcentral